AAAACUCAACAUCUAACCUGAGGAAACAUGUUGCGAGGGUUCACUCCAACAAAUUGAGGAUGUAUACGGAAUUAAUGGACAGCCACAGAAAACGAAAGUCAUCCUCUUCUACCGAGCCACCUAUGAAGAACGCAAAACUUACAGACUCUUUCACAGGCUCUAGGUGAAUAACACAA
Long non-coding RNA from Oreochromis niloticus (Nile tilapia), 176 nucleotides. RefSeq lists it as uncharacterized. Lineage: Eukaryota; Metazoa; Chordata; Actinopteri; Cichliformes; Cichlidae. The transcript has 2 exons. The record is from RefSeq and is a predicted model, not a curated record.